Oryctolagus cuniculus (rabbit) is the source of this 63-nucleotide regulatory RNA element. It matches the Rfam family "Gag/pol translational readthrough site". The record is from Rfam. NCBI's taxonomy places the organism in Eukaryota, Metazoa, Chordata, Mammalia, Lagomorpha, Leporidae.
UAGGAAAGUCAGGGCCAGGAGCCCCCGCCCCGAGCCCAGGGUAACUCUUGAUGUAGGGGGGCA